GAUACAUAUGUUUGUUCAUUAGUUUUUUUUUAAAUUGAAAGUUCCAUAUUUAUGCAUUCAACUUUGAUUUUUUUUUUAUGCUUCUGAAUUUUUUCAUUUCAUAAAUAUAAGUUAUUUACUUUUUUAAUAUUGAAUACAAUUUGUUUGAAUUUUUAUUUUUUAAGAUUUGUCUAGAUCUCUCCCCCUCUCCGUCUAUGUUUUUUCUUUUGAUUUUCGUUAUCAAAAUAUUCAAUUUAUAAUAUA
This 243-nucleotide long non-coding RNA is filed under the name Lathyrus oleraceus (garden pea). RNAcentral describes it as "Pisum sativum (pea) long non-coding RNA (PSAT_LNC004315)". The record is from RNAcentral. Lineage: Eukaryota; Viridiplantae; Streptophyta; Magnoliopsida; Fabales; Fabaceae.